Cucumis sativus (cucumber) is the source of this 906-nucleotide long non-coding RNA. RefSeq lists it as uncharacterized. The transcript has 2 exons. Lineage: Eukaryota; Viridiplantae; Streptophyta; Magnoliopsida; Cucurbitales; Cucurbitaceae. The record is from RefSeq and is a predicted model, not a curated record.
GUCGAAUAUACAAGUGGAUGAUUUUCUCAUUGUCGCAAAGCACAACAGUCUCAAUGCUCCUUGGAGAUCCAUAUAUGCAAAGGUUUGGAUUGGUUCAAGUCUCAAAUGGGUUGGAAAUUAACAAUAUGGCAGGGAUAUGUGGAAUUCUAAUUGUAAUGGGUUGGAGUUUCCAUCACAGAAUACCCCCGAGAGACAGAGAAGCCCUGCUUUGGAGAAACAUCAAAGAUAAUCUCCCCUCCCUCUUUGAUAACAGCCAAAUGGGAUGUCCCCCGUAUGAAAGCCCAACAGAAAUAAUGGCAUUAUUUCUCUAUUCAAUCUGUCAAUCUUACUAGCUAUGAAUCUUCCACCAUCUUCUAUUGAUGAGAGCUUCCCUUUCUUGCAUGUGUGAAAAUCUAAGCUCCCCAAAAAAUGCAAGUUUUUCUUAUAGACUGCAAUUCACAAAGGGAUCCUCACUAUUGAGUCGAUACAACAUAUAUAGACUUAAAAACUUGUCUUAACCCUAAUUGGUGCAUCAUGUGUAAAAAUAACAGUGAGACCACAUAUCACUUUUUCCUCCUUUGCCCCUUUGUUCUAUCUUUAUGGAGUAAAGUUAAGGAACACAUAGGUUGGAUAAGCAAUACAAACAACUUAAGAGACAUGCACAAGCACAUUUGUUCUAUAAACACUAAGUCUCAAAAGGGUGUGAUUCUCUUUAAUCUUCUGGUGGCCACCACUUGGGUUACAUGGUUGGAAAGAAACAGAAGACUCUUCAACAACAGCCUUGAUUCGUCUGUUAGUCUAUGGGAGAAUAUAUGCAACCUCACUAGUUUAUAAUAUUCAAAAAACAAGUUUUUCAAAAGUUAUUCUCCUACAUUUAUUGCUUUAAAUUAUAUUAACGCUUUUUGUUAGCACUUUAUUUGUGGCUUA